RNAcentral lists this ribosomal RNA (536 nucleotides) under uncultured bacterium. RNAcentral describes it as "bacterial SSU rRNA". It matches the Rfam family "Bacterial small subunit ribosomal RNA", at positions 102 to 674 of the family's 1533-position model. The record is from RNAcentral.
ACGGGUGAGUAACGCGUGGGAACAUACCCUUUCCUGCGGAAUAGCUCCGGGAAACUGGAAUUAAUACCGCAUACGCCCUACGGGGGAAAGAUUUAUCGGGGAAGGAUUGGCCCGCGUUGGAUUAGCUAGUUGGUGGGGUAAAGGCCUACCAAGGCGACGAUCCAUAGCUGGUCUGAGAGGAUGAUCAGCCACAUUGGGACUGAGACACGGCCCAAACUCCUACGGGAGGCAGCAGUGGGGAAUAUUGGACAAUGGGCGCAAGCCUGAUCCAGCCAUGCCGCGUGAGUGAUGAAGGCCUUAGGGUUGUAAAGCUCUUUCACCGAUGAAGAUAAUGACGGUAGUCGGAGAAGAAGCCCCGGCUAACUUCGUGCCAGCAGCCGCGGUAAUACGAAGGGGGCUAGCGUUGUUCGGAAUUACUGGGCGUAAAGCGCACGUAGGCGGAUAUUUAAGUCAGGGGUGAAUCCCGCAGCUCAACUGCGGAACUGCCUUUGAUACAGGGUAUCUUGAGUAUGGAAGAGGUAAGUGGAAUUCCGAGU